GACGAACGCUGGCGGCGUGCUUAACACAUGCAAGUCGAGCGGUAAGGCUCCUUCGGGAGUACACGAGCGGCGAACGGGCGAGUAACACGUGAGUAAUCUGCCCUUCACUUCGGGAUAACCACCGGAAACGGUGGCUAAUACCGAAUACGACCAGUCUUCGCAUGAGGUGCUGGUGGAAAGUCUUUUCGGUGAAGGAUGUGCUCGCGGCCUAUCAGCUUGUUGGUGGGGUAAUGGCCUACCAAGGCUUCGACGGGUAGCCGGCCUGGGAGGGUGACCGGCCACACUGGGACUGAGACACGGCCCAGACUCCUACGGGAGGCAGCAGUGGGAAAUAUUGGACAAUGGGCGAAAGCCUGAUCCAGCAAAGCCGCGUGAGGGAUGACGGCCUUCGGGUUGUAAACCUCUUUCAGUACCGACGAAGCGCCCUGUCGGGUGGUGACGGUAGGUACAGAAGAAGGACCGGCCAACUACGUG
This 474-nucleotide ribosomal RNA is filed under the name uncultured bacterium. RNAcentral describes it as "partial 16S ribosomal RNA". It matches the Rfam family "Bacterial small subunit ribosomal RNA", at positions 28 to 507 of the family's 1533-position model. The record is from RNAcentral.